GCGUCGGUGGUUCAGUGGAAGAAUACUCGCCUGCCACGCGGGUGGCCCGGGUUCGAUUCCCGGCUGACGCA
Molecule: transfer RNA, 71 nt
Organism: Tropilaelaps mercedesae
Lineage: Eukaryota; Metazoa; Arthropoda; Arachnida; Mesostigmata; Laelapidae
Rfam family: tRNA
About the family: Transfer RNA (tRNA) molecules are approximately 80 nucleotides in length. Their secondary structure includes four short double-helical elements and three loops (D, anti-codon, and T loops).
Source: Rfam